UACGUAGGGAGCGAGCGUUGUCCGGAAUUACUGGGUGUAAAGGGAGCGUAGGCGGGACGGCAAGUCAGAUGUGAAAACUAUGGGCUCAACCCAUAGACUGCAUUUGAAACUGUUGUUCUUGAGUGAGGUAGAGGUAAGCGGAAUUCCUGGUGUAGCGGUGAAAUGCGUAGAGAUCAGGAGGAACAUCGGUGGCGAAGGCGCCUUUCUGGUCUGUGUCUGACGCUGAGAUGCGAAAGCCAGGGUAGCGAACGGG
RNAcentral lists this ribosomal RNA (253 nucleotides) under Ruminococcus callidus. RNAcentral describes it as "partial 16S ribosomal RNA". It matches the Rfam family "Bacterial small subunit ribosomal RNA", at positions 524 to 776 of the family's 1533-position model. Lineage: Bacteria; Bacillati; Bacillota; Clostridia; Eubacteriales; Oscillospiraceae. The record is from RNAcentral.